This 931-nucleotide ribosomal RNA is filed under the name Nocardiopsis sp. RNAcentral describes it as "bacterial SSU rRNA". It matches the Rfam family "Bacterial small subunit ribosomal RNA", at positions 518 to 1446 of the family's 1533-position model. The record is from RNAcentral. Lineage: Bacteria; Bacillati; Actinomycetota; Actinomycetes; Streptosporangiales; Nocardiopsidaceae.
CGGUAAUACGUAGGGUCCGAGCGUUGUCCGGAAUUAUUGGGCGUAAAGAGCUCGUAGGCGGCGUGUCGCGUCUGCUGUGAAAGACCGGGGCUUAACUCCGGUUCUGCAGUGGAUACGGGCAUGCUAGAGGUAGGUAGGGGAGACUGGAAUUCCUGGUGUAGCGGUGAAAUGCGCAGAUAUCAGGAGGAACACCGGUGGCGAAGGCGGGUCUCUGGGCCUUACCUGACGCUGAGGAGCGAAAGCAUGGGGAGCGAACAGGAUUAGAUACCCUGGUAGUCCAUGCCGUAAACGUUGGGCGCUAGGUGUGGGGACUUUCCACGGUUUCCGCGCCGUAGCUAACGCAUUAAGCGCCCCGCCUGGGGAGUACGGCCGCAAGGCUAAAACUCAAAGGAAUUGACGGGGGCCCGCACAAGCGGCGGAGCAUGUUGCUUAAUUCGACGCAACGCGAAGAACCUUACCAAGGUUUGACAUCACCCGUGGACUCGCAGAGAUGUGAGGUCAUUUAGUUGGCGGGUGACAGGUGGUGCAUGGCUGUCGUCAGCUCGUGUCGUGAGAUGUUGGGUUAAGUCCCGCAACGAGCGCAACCCUUGUUCCAUGUUGCCAGCACGUAAUGGUGGGGACUCAUGGGAGACUGCCGGGGUCAACUCGGAGGAAGGUGGGGAUGACGUCAAGUCAUCAUGCCCCUUAUGUCUUGGGCUGCAAACAUGCUACAAUGGCCGGUACAAUGGGCGUGCGAUACCGUAAGGUGGAGCGAAUCCCUAAAAGCCGGUCUCAGUUCGGAUUGGGGUCUGCAACUCGACCCCAUGAAGGUGGAGUCGCUAGUAAUCGCGGAUCAGCAACGCCGCGGUGAAUACGUUCCCGGGCCUUGUACACACCGCCCGUCACGUCAUGAAAGUCGGCAACACCCGAAACUUGCGGCCUAACCCCUUGU